RNAcentral lists this ribosomal RNA (469 nucleotides) under uncultured bacterium. Its description in RNAcentral is "bacterial SSU rRNA". It matches the Rfam family "Bacterial small subunit ribosomal RNA", at positions 9 to 482 of the family's 1533-position model. The record is from RNAcentral.
GAGUUUGAUCUUGGCUCAGGGUUAACGCUGGCGGCGCGCAUAACACAUGCAAGUCGAGCGAGGGCUUAUUUCUCGCAAGAGAGAUAAGUUCCUAGCGGCGAACGGGUGAGUAACACGUGGGCAACCUUUCCUAUCGCGGGGGAUAACACCGGGAAACCGAUGCUAAUACCGCAUGUCGUCACUGGUCGCAUGGCUGGUGAAGAAAGCAGCAAUGCACGAUGGGGUGGGCCCGCGGCCUAUCAGCUAGUCGGUGGGGUAACGGCCUACCGAGGCGAUGACGGGUAGCUGGUCUGAGAGGACGGCCAGCCACACGGGGGACUGAGACACGGCCCCGACUCCUACGGGAGGCAGCAGUGAGGAAUCUUCCGCAAUGGGCGAAAGCCUGACGGAGCGACGCCGCGUGUGGGAUGAAAGUCUUUCGGGAGUGUAAACCAACUGUCGGAGGGGAAGGAGUAGUGACGGUACCCGU